CGCAUGUCAUGGCAACAUGCCGUGUGAUCGGGCAGGAGUCAGCAGAGGCCAUAGUAGGC
Smithella sp. SDB is the source of this 59-nucleotide non-coding RNA. Lineage: Bacteria; Pseudomonadati; Thermodesulfobacteriota; Syntrophia; Syntrophales; Smithellaceae. The record is from Rfam.